AAUAGGAGGCUGACUAAAGUAACAGAGAGGUCAACAGGACCCUGGAAGUGUGUAUGAAAAAAUGAGGCACCAAUUAAGUUGAAAUGCUUCACCAUGCUAGUAGUCAGAAGAGCUAUAACUUGUCGGAUUCACGAUGUACUAAAAAAGGAAACCUACAUUGCUUCAUGAUGCUCAUCAUGUAAGAGUUACAGCACAAGGGUGGGCAUCAUUCGUCAAUUUAGCUAAGGUGAACUGGUCUAU
RNAcentral lists this unclassified non-coding RNA (240 nucleotides) under Hevea brasiliensis (rubber tree). Lineage: Eukaryota; Viridiplantae; Streptophyta; Magnoliopsida; Malpighiales; Euphorbiaceae. The record is from RNAcentral.